RNAcentral lists this long non-coding RNA (12465 nucleotides) under Gallus gallus (chicken). The record is from RNAcentral. Lineage: Eukaryota; Metazoa; Chordata; Aves; Galliformes; Phasianidae.
CUGAGCCAGGCAGAGUGCAGGAAAGCCAUGUUCGGCUUUUGCCAAUGCACCUCAGUGCAGCCUUGUGGUUUCAGAAGUGUGCCUGGUCUAAACAGGCUGUGUAGAGGCUUUGUGAAGCAUAAAUGGUGGUAAGAGAAUAAACCAAAAUUUUAUGCUUCUUGAGUUGCCCUUCUUUGCCUCACAGAAUCAAAUAACAUGGAGCAAAAGAGUAUGGAAAUCACAGACUAGGAUUUUAGGUCUUUUUUAUUUGAAAAUAUUAUUUUCAUCAGGAAGUCUCAUGUAAAUGGUGCCAUCACUGUUGUUGGGAAAUGUGAACUAGCAGUUAGCAUUCCCAAGUUACCUUCAGCACUGUCCACUUGUUCUGAUCAUAGCGGAAAUAGGACCCUUGGUUUCUGACCUUUGGUAGAAGCUCUAAAUUCUCUUAAAUGCUCUCCCCUAGAUUUCUUAUCACUGAUCAUGUGGAUCUCAUUUUCUACUCGCUAUGAAUGUUAGAGCUUGAAGAAAGCUUUGAGGUAAUGGGCUGUGGAAGACAGAAGAGUGAACCAGUCACCUUCCUUGUUCUUCAGUUCAGACAAUCCUUCGUUUGGACAACUGGAGGAUGAAGAUCCCUGGACAUAAUGAAAGAGUAAGUUUACUGUUUUAUAUGGAUGCAGAAAGAUAGCCUGGUAGUCAAUGUUUUCAUACUGAGGCAGAAACAAAAAAAAAGAAAAAAAAGAAGUGUCACAGUAGGAUGUGUACACAGGACUUACAUGGAUAAAAUGUUCGUAAUCUACUUCUGCACUGAUCAGAUGAAGACUUGUAGUCCGUCACAGGAGCCGUAGCCCAGGAUGCCAUUCCUCCUUUGGAGACACAGAAGGCAGUAAGAGUAAUCAGGUGUUUAGAAACCAUGGUUUGGGAAAGCAUUGUUGAGUUUACAGAAAGGAAAAGACAGGGCUUUGAAAUGUUUAAAGGACAACUGCGAAGGAGGAAGUAAUCUUUGUUUUCUGUGUCCAUUGGAAUUAGAAAUGGCUCAUUUAUCUUGGACAGUAAGACAAAAUUAUGUUGAGUGACAGGAGGAUGUACAUAUACAAAACUAAAAGCAUUUCCCUGAAUGCAGAAUAAAUUCCACAUAGCAGAAUAAAUGCAUAAACCAAAAUGUGGAUCAGUUUCUGCCUUGAAAAAUGUUUGACUCAAACAGGGCCCGAGUGCUGCUCCGCUAGGUUUAGCUCAACUAGGUGCUGCUAGCAGGCCACUUGUGAGAAAGCAUGGUGGCAGCCAAGAACCAAUAGCUGAGAGCAAUGGUGUGAUGGAAAGGUUUGGAAUGGUUUGGACCUCAUAAUUGUUCCCAGUUUCUUGAAGGAUCUAAGUCACAGUAGAACUCUACAGAUAUAUAGAUGUAGAUUUUUCUUACAGCAAUUGAUCUGACAAUGAAGGGAGUUUGAUUAGAUUUUCUGCAGACAGAGUUGUUGGCAGUCCAUAAGCCUGAUCAUUAAAAUGGAAACACGGUUAAAAUUGGUUUCCUCUCUUGUUAGUUGUUUUCAAUAGAACUUCAUCCAAGUAUACACCAGUAAAAUUGCAUGAGAGUAAGGCAACACAGAUACUAUAGACCUGUGUCAAGAUCAAUCAACCUCAUGAUUUCUCUUAAGGGAUGUUCCUUGAAGAUCUUUAUUUUCUAUAGUGUGUAUUACUAAAAAAAAGUCAAUGAGGCUCAGGGAGAAGCAAUAGGAGAGGCUUUUAAUACACUUCAUUUUCUGCUUUAAAUUGUAAUUCACAUAAGUAAUGAGUAUUUUCCAACCAGAAUGGUGGGAAUGUUGCCUAGUGUUACUAACUAACACGUAUUCCGUUCCUUAAGCCCACCCACCACAUAGAAGCUAAUUGCAAGGAUUAGAAUACACCAACACACUUAAGCUCCACUCCUGUGGGUUUGGGGAGAAACAACACAUUUCAACAUUCCAGCUACAGUUCCCCUGGCAACGUACAUAACAACAACUCUCUAAAAACUGUGGGUUUCUGUUUUCUUAACCCUUAGAACAUUGACUGAAUGAAUACUUCCUUGAGGAAACAGUUCAGUCAACCAGAUAUAGUCAAACACUCUUGAAUCCAUCAGUCCUUUUCUCCUUAAAAAAAAAACCAACAAAACAAAAGCAGUUGAAUUCCAUGUCAAACUGAUCUCCUCCCCUAGCAUUAAAGAGUUUAACUCCAACAAAUGUGCAUACCAUUAGCAAACCUCCCAUAGAAGUCUGCAUGAAAAAAGACUUUAAAAAAUCCCAAAAUAUCAAUAUUUAAGAUUACUGUAAAGUUCCUAGGCAUCAAAGGACACACAGAAAAAUACACAAUGAAUUUUACAAAGCACAUAAAUACUCUUAAGAGAUGAAACAAAACAAAAUUAGCAUUUAUGUAUAGAACAUAAUAUUUUCCUAUCAGUUAUUAUAACAAUGAUAAUGCCUAUAGCAACUUUAUGAUUCCUCUGAGAAUUUCAAAUGCUUCAUAAAUAUUAACUAAUACCUUGAAAUAAUAUAUACACCAUUGUUGUGAAAUACAUGAGAUCUGCUCCAGAAUUUGUUCCACUGCUCAAUGAACUAGAAUCUCUUGUGAUGGUAUCACAUCUGCUUCUUAGCAGUGGCUGUUCCUAUCACAUAAAGGAACCAUCAGCUAAAUGCAUAUGCAGGGUGUCGGAAGUCACCAGACCUCACCUGAACCUCACAAAGAGCUGCUGUAGAUUUUGGGUUGUCAGUAGCAGGCAGAAUUAAUGAAUGCACAUGGCCAUAGUUCUUAGUGGCCGCAAGCACCACUGGUAUUUUGUAGUUUAUUUAAGCUAAUGGUCUGAUAUCCCUAGUAUUUUCCUCAGAAGUCUGCAUUUAUGAAAGCAUUUAAGAGUGAUAUCUCCUGGAAAGUUUUAGGCUGGAGUGGGGGGAAGUGGUGGCAGUGGUACAGCAGUUUUCUAAAGAGAGCCAACCUUGCUUCCUCAGCAUGCAAGAAUUGACCUGAUGAGGCUCUUAGAGAGCAAGAGAAGGCAUCCACCUAUAUCAAACAUAUGACUAUUCGCAGUGCAUUGGUGCACGCUUACUUACACAAAGGAAGGGUUGAAGGCUGCAAAACUAAAUCAUGAUCAAAAAGAUGUCAGUGCACUUUGAAGCAAUUACCUUUCAUAACCUGGAUUUUCUCCCUUUUUCUCUCCAUAAGCUUUAUUUUUUUUUCCUCUUAAAAGGAGUCAAUGUGAUGUUCUCUUAGAUCUUCCAUCCCAUGAUAAAAGCCACUGCCUCAUUUUGUAGCUUUGAACAGAUACAAGAAAGAAUAAGUACACCUGCAAAAUUGUUUAAAGUUCUUUAGCCAGAAACUUCUAAUGCUCCAUCACUAUACCAUUGCUUUCCAUUCAUGGAGAGAGUAUUCGCUUGCUGCUUUGCAGCAACUCCUACAUAAAUCACUGGGAAGCAGACUUUCCCCCCGCUCCAUCCUCAGGCUUAGUACACAACAGUUUGCUAAAGAUUAUGCAGCAUCCUUACUAACGUGUGGUUGCCAGGGCAUCCUUGUUCCCUAGCCAACUACUGUACUAAGGCUUCACUGGCAACCAUCCAGCUGUGUUUUACUGAGGAGCCUCUGCAGCAGUCAAGGGCAUGUUUUCACAAUUUACUGGAGAAGUCAGUCUGUUUGUUUCUUUUCUCCUAAAGACCCUAAGCAUUUGAGAAGGCAGAAACUUUUUGCAGAUGACUGUAAGACAGUGGAUGUCUCUUCUCCCUUUUAUCUGCAAAAAACAAAAAUAAAAAUAAUUCUUGCUGCAGUGGGCUUGGGUUUUGCAUUAACCCAGCCAUUAUGGACCCUAGACGUAUCAGUGUGGCAGUGUCAGGGCCAGCACAGGCACAGAGCCACACUGACAUGGCAAUACCUUCCACAGCUAUGCUGGUAACUGUUUAGAUUUGUUCUGUGCAAUGUGGAGUUACUCUCUUGGUUGGAAGGGGAAAGGGCAUCCUAGCAUGUGUUGCUGUUCAUAGAUACCUCAUUCCUCUCAAGAUUUUAGAGCAUCACUGCAAUGCAAAUCUCAGCUAACAUUGUUUUUAAUUUCAAGUUUUCUUGUGCAAAUAGCAUGUAAGAUGGAAUGAGUAAGAUGAUGCUAUCUAGUGAUGAAAGAAGGCUUAAUUGCAAUUUAAUUGUGUUGGUGGCACCCAGCGUUAUUAUGUCAGGGCCAAUUCCAGGCUGCAUUUCUGCUAGAUGGCUUGAACAGCCUUCGGUUACAGCUGACUGCAGGCUCCAUGGGGCCAGCAUCAGGCACAAACUGUUGCCAUUGCAAUAGCACGUGUCCCUAGAGAGCCCCAGGCCAGCACAUGGGCUGAAGCAGUCAGAGGGAGGGUCACAGCAAGAGGACAGCUUGACCAAUCUAUAUUGCUUUUGCUAUGGGUCUUCUGUUGACUAAAGCCUCCAGGCUGUCACUGCUAUUGAAUUUCUCAGUACCAGGAGACUUAAUGAUGUGCACUUGUAUCCAUAGCACUCUUUCAUGGUGAAUUUAUAGUACCAUUCAUGCAAUAAGGGCAAGAUAAAGAAAGUGGUGUGUGAGAUAUAAUAUUUACAGGGUAUUCUAUUCCUCCUUUCCCCAGAGAAGGAAAGGGGAUAUCGAAAGAAAAGAUGCCAUAUGAAUUCUAGAGCAACUGCAGGCCUUAUCUUGAUAUUACCUGAGAAGUCUUGAUCAUCAGUAUUCAGAUCUCAGUGUUGCACCUAUAGCUUUAGCUUUUCAAACCUCGGGGGGUGGGGAACAAACUGGCAAACAAGAAUUUGACUUUUAUUCAGUGUGUGAAAGAGGAGUGUGUAGCUUCCCAUGUAGUCCCACAGGACAUGCAGAACUCAGUUUCUUGCUCUGCACAACCUUUCACUGGAGGACUGUGAAGGAAGCAAAAGUAUCUGUGAUAUUAAUUACAGAUUAGAAAAUGCGCCUUUAGCAGGAUGUUUCCAAAUAAACAUAUUUUAUUUCCAAAGUGAUGGAAAGAGCUGUAUUUCUCAAUUUAGCUAGAGAAAAGGGUAUUAAGAAGGCAACUUCGUUGGGUUAAAAUGGGUUUCAAAAAUGAAACAAAAAGUAUUUUCCUUCAGUGCCAACAAAGGUCCAAACUAAGGAAUAACCAUGUUUGCUCAAUCUAAGGAAAAAAUAACAGACAUUUAGCUAGACUGUUGUCUCACUUACUUAAUACGGUGAGAUAUUUGAAAAACUGGUAGCAAUUUUCAUGAAACAAAUAAAAAUUUUCAGUAUUUUGUCAAAAAAUGUGAAAAUAUUACAUGCACUAUAACAGCUCAGUGGAACCAAUAAUAAUAGCACCAAGUUUUGCCAAAAGAAAGACAGUUAAAACUGAGACUUAAUGUUUUUUAGACUGUAACUAAAUCUAAAACAUUUUGACCAAGUUGAUUUUGUAUAGACCUUGUAAGAUUAGCAAAAAGCAUCAAAGGUAUAUUAAAAGGGUAUCUGGAAAGACCCGCCCAGCUUAUGUUGUUGCUAGUGAAAAGUAACACAAAUGAUUCAAAAUGUACAAAUUCUGUUAUCCCACCUGGUAUAUAUAAAUGUUGUCUAUGUAUGAUUUUUUGGAAAUAUUGUUGUCAUGGUUACCAUUCAGCUGUCUUUAUGCUUUAAUAUGCCCUAUCUUCUAAGGUUGAGGUUCAAUUCAAGUUCAUAGCAAGCAAGUCAACUGACGUUUUCAUUUGUGAGCUCUAAUAUAAUGUGCAUCAUUUGCUGAGAGGAAACUUGAAAAACUUGUGGCAUGAUUCUAUGAGAUGUCAAGCACCUUCAGAUGCAGCAGAAGCCAGUGCCCUGUAUGGCGUGUCUGAGUCAUGAAUAGUGUGCCAGUAACAGUAAGUAACAGUCUUAUUUUGAAAAGCUAUACACCUGUUUCUGUUGAUAGGAGGACAGUUUCUGUACUCCUACAGGCUGAACCUACCACCAGCAGCCACUAAAUGAACAAUGUGUUUGUCUCUCUGCAUCAUUUGUUUGUCUGAAUAUAUAGGAAAGCUUAAGUCUGUAAUGUUGGCAAACAUAAACUAAAUUCCUAUGUGUAACAUGAAAUAAUCCCAUACUUCUAAUUCAUUGAAAUGGAAAAAUAAUUUUCCAUUUCCUUUUCUAAAUUUCCUCAUUUUUAAGUGGAGGUAGGAGGAAUGAAAGAGUACUUAAAAUGAUGACAAGUAUUUUGCCUUUUAUAGGUCAUUGCAGCCUUGAGGUUCAAACCAUAAACACCGAGACUUAUCAAUAAACUCCAAAAUGCCUAGCCAGGGUAAUUGAGCUUCAGGUAACUCAGUGUAGUGUUCACAUUGUCUUCUGCAGGUAUACAGAUAUAUCCAAACAGUCAAGUGGAUAUGUUUAACUAUUUUUUUGCUAUUCUACAGAAACAGAUGGCCCUGUUCUUCCAAGUAGCCUCUUUACCUUAUUAGCCUAAAGCAAAUCCUUUUUACUGACUCCAACAAGCCACCUGGAACUGCCAGGAACGGCUCUUUCCUUCCCUUCCCUUUUCCUGAUUUAGCUUUAGCUCAGGAAAGGAGGUGUUGCUCUGUUCGGGGUUUUUUUGUUGUUGUUUUUUGUUUUUGUAAUUUUGUUGUUGUUGUUUUUUGUAGUGCAGUGCACAGAAGUGGAGCUUGCUUCUAAGGACCAGAAAUGUUGUGGUAAAGUUUCAAUAUAGCCAACUUCUCUAUGAGCAUACCCACAUAAUUUAAAUUAAAUAUACUUUCUCUUCCUUUCCUCUCCAGUAUGAAAAAUGGGAAGGUAAAGGGCAGGGAAAAAGUUCUAGAUGAGUGUCUCAUUGUUUUCUAUGUCCAUCUCUUACAGUCUGUUUCCUUUCAGUAUUGCUAGUUCUCGACUCGUUCCUGUUGUCACAAAGGAAGAUACAAACAAGUUAACGUCACACACUGCAUACCUCACGUCAGAUCUUCAGGACUCACUUUCUCUGUGGAAGUAAGUAAGUGCUCAAAGAAUUUGGUUUCUUUGCCUCUUAACUGCUUGGUUGCUAGUUUCUUUAGUUUGCUUUGCUUCCUUAAUGAAAUUGUCCUUGGGCACAGCCCAAGAGGGGUGGCCUAGAAGCACCUACUUUCAGGUAGUCUCUACUCAUGGACACAUCUCACAAGCAGGUAAGGUAUGCUUAUUAAAAAAAAAAAAUUAUUGUCCUUUCCAACUGCUCCAGAAAAUUUCUGAGGUACCAACUUAAUCGAAAAGGGAAAAAAUGAAAGUGUAAAAUACAAAACCCAGCAUAAAUAGCAGAAUGAUAGAAGUAGGUCAACAACAUUCAUUUGUGUGAAUAUACACAUGAUCACCAUGUGCCUAUGGGCAUGUACGCAGUAGUGUGCAUGUAUCACAACUGCGGUGCUAAUGUUAUAGAGACAUUAUCAAAAUAAUUAAAAUUAUCAUGGGCCUCAGAAAAGCACGUACACACAGACACCAACUACACGUUAUUUAUACAUUCAUCUUUUGGAGACCCAUUAAAACACAUGAAUGGUGUCGAUGCAUGUGUUUGACCAGAAGCUCUCAACAGUGCUCUUUUUUUUUUUUAAUCAGACACCUCAAAAUUAUUUCAUGACUUGUUUUCUCAGUAUGUGUUCUUUAUGGCUUUUUACUUAUUUUUAUAAUAUGUGGGCCAGUAAAUAUGAGCUUUAUCUCCAAAACUCUAGAGUUAACCAUUGUCAGAGACACGAAUGAUUUGUAAGCAAAUGGGACUGAAAGAGGCCUCUUUGGCCCCCAUUUUCAAUUCCAGCGUAUGUUCAGAUGAGUGGAAAAUGUUUGCUGCUAACCUCAAUGCAGAGCUUCCAGUUCACUGCACAAGUGAUACACUUCCAUAGACCUGAUGACGUGGUCUGUGAUCUAUGAAAAGAGGAAGAGAGCACUGAGAUGAACUCCAGAUGCACCUAUUUGUUAUGCUGUGGUAUCUUGAGGCCUGGCACCAUGCAAAAUUGCAUUUCGUAAGUCACUUUCUAGGCCAUAGCAUGAGACAGUAGCAGUGACAUCGUUAAGCAGACUGUCUUUGCAGAGAAAGGGUCACCUGCUUUCACAGUUUGUUAAACACUGAACUGAGCAGGAAGCUGUCUGGCAUUGCAGGAUAAGCCUUCUCCUCUAGAAAGUAAGUAUGAAACAGAGAUGACUGAGAAUAUUUUUAUCACGCGCCCAUGCUUUUAAACAGGUUAUUAGCACAGCCACAGCAGGGGGCAAAAGAAAUGAAUACUUGAUUUGUUCAUUAAAAUCAAAUACUUAUUUACAGCUUAGGUGAUUAAACUCUGCAUUUGGAAAGAAAAAAAAACAACAAAAAACACCUUCACUCUGUCUGCUUGAUGUUAAAUAGUAGAACAGCACAGAAGUGAAAAUACCCUGAAGUCCUGUAUCAUAUGCAUUAUCUUCACUGGUGAAGUGAGUGAGUGAGUGGAGAGGUGUGAAAUUCCAGCAGAGAGAAACAUGCUGUUUUAAGAGGAAGUGCUGACAUGCAAGCUACAAUUAGACAAAAAAUGACUGCUGACAUUUAGAAAUCAUUACAGAGAGGAAAUUGUGAGUGUAAUUAUGUCAUCAUUGACACUGUUCAAGUGUGCUGAUGCAUUUUUGCUGAUCAAAAUCAAGUGUUUAUAUUUGUAAAUAGAAUGUACUUAGCAACUCUAUCAAUGGAAAUGUUCUAGCCAAGAACUAAGGAAAAUAUAGCCAAGUCACUUUGACAGAAACUUCUAUUUUUCUUUUGCUUGAUUUUUCAGUAUUUUGCUUUCAGAAUCUUUCCUUGCUAACAAGAUCAUUUCUUGUUAUUUAUUAAUUUGCGUGAACGUUGUCUAGGUUUUGCUUGUAAGUAAGUUGUUUGGUAGUGUUUUAUUUUGUAUUGUCUUUUUCCAGAAUAGAGCAGUAGGAGUGUAAGUAAAGGUGUAACUUCCCAAUAUGUAUUUUACAUCCAGCAAUGGUAAACAGUAGCUGACUACAGGAUAUAAAAGAAUAUUAAGAAUGUACCAGCCAUGCCAGUCUUUUAGCUUCAAAAAUCUGUUGCUUGAGGACUUCACAGACUGCUCAAAAACAGCAGAAUAAUGAAGUCUUUCUGACUGGCUUUAGAAAUAGUCUGCUACUGAAGUCAGUACAAAUGGAAACAUGGUGUCAGCAGGUGGUAAAAUAUGUAAAUGUUAUCAUUUACUUUGAGGAGUUUGUUGACUGUGCUAAUACUGAAGUCUUGGCGCUGCAUUAUUUAUCACAGUUCUGCUUUAAGCACUGUCAAAAAUCCUUUACCUAUGACAUAUUAUCACUCAAUGACAGAGAAGAACGACCAAUCUAGGAUACGUACAAAUGCUCAGUUCAAAAUGAAAAAAAAAUAUGUGAAAAUGUGUAUAUAAUUGAUUCCCAAAACAUGUUUUUAUCUUAGAGGUCUGGGAGAUUAUGUACAAAUACAUUUUAUAAAUGUGAAAGCAGAAGUGUUUACAAAGGUUCUUGAGGGGAGUAAGAAAAGGUCUUGGCUUCUGAAAUAAAAUGUCCACAGCACAACCUGUCCACAAAUGGUAGUCCUCCUGAGGAUGGCACUUUGUUCACACUAUUCUGGAACAUGUUUAUGUCAAGAUUUAAGAAAAAGACUGAAAGCGUGAACAAAGGACACUUAAUGAGGCACUCCAUUUUAUGAGCGCAUUAUUUUUGAAGGGUAUAGCACAAAUACAAACAUGAAUAUUGAAUGUCAGCUAUCCUAGUUAAAACUAACUGUUCAUCAGCCUUUGUAUGCUCAGUUCUAAAAUUCCCGUUGUUAUUUCUCUGUUAAUUUUACAAGAAAUGUAAGCAUUGGCUUGUCUUCACUUUUCCCUCUCUAUUUUUUUCCUUUCUUCAUUGACUUUUCCCCUUGGGAAUGGAGUUCUUUACAAUUCACCUAUUAUUUUGCUGGCUGUCAUCCUGCAGCCAGCUGUGGGUUUUGUUUUGUUUAGUUUUGUUUUAUUGUUGCUGUUUUUUGUUUUGUGGGUUUGUUGUUUCUCUUUUGACAUAGGGUCCAUCAGUUUCCAUCAGUGUCCUUGUUUCCAUUGUUGUAUAUCCAUUGUGAAUAAUUAUCCAUCAGGUUGUCUUUUCUCCAUACCAUACUAAGGCAGGGGAUUUACCAACACACCCAAACAACAGUAACAGAAAUGGGUAUUUCCUGUUAUUAGUAAAAUGUAGUAUAAUAUGAAUAAUUAUUCCAUGAUCCUUUCUAGUCUUAAAGGCUUCAGUUGUGACUGCAACAAAGAUAGACUGUCAUAUAGACUGCCAUAGAUGAUACUGUUGGUCAGUCUCAAAAUCUUUUCAAAUCUUUCAAUUCCAUGAAUUGAAAGAAAUAUGCUAUUUCUGCUGUAUAGUGUGUGAAACGAUCUUAUGACCAAAGUGUACAUUAAAACGUGCAGCAACAAAUCUGGAGACCAAGCUGGAUAAAAUAAGAACAGUUUAAAUGGAAUAAUAUGGUUUAUCAACUAAAUACUUUCAUAUGUGAAAGAAAUCCAUUCUCUUCCCCCACAAUCAAGCUUCAUCCUGAAGUUCAGCAGAACAACGAACAACAACAACAACAAAAAAUGGUAAGAGUAGAAAAGAUGCUAUUCAAAUUUUAUUCUUAAAACAUUUUUGCUUUUAAAAGUAUUGUUAAUUUGCAUUAUUUGCUCGGGUUUCAUUUGUUAAUUUUUAAUUGGUAUAUCUGUGAAAUCAGUUGUGCUAUAUGUAAACCUGAAUUACAUUGUUUGUUGGGAUACCUCUAUGGAUGCUUUGCAAUGUCUCAAAUCAAAGAAAUGUUUUUAGAGUUAAUCAGAGCUGAUGACACUGAAUAUAAUACAUUGUCAGAGCAUUUUGAUAAUACUGAAAUAAUUAAUUACAACCUUUUAAGCAAAGAGUUUUAAACAAUUAAAAAAAAUAGAGCAGGAUGAGGAUUUAAUAUGAUUUUAGUACUACUUCUUGCAGCAAUUGCUUCUGGUUAAACAAUUUGUAUAAAUUAUGCAAGCAUUCAUAAACUAAAGGUUUAUAUCCAUCACAACAGCAUGGCAGGUUUAGAUUUACAGACACAAAUCCACGAGAGAUGGUACAGUUCCAACCUUCAGUUGGCAAAAGCAGCACUUGGACUGAAACAGAUCAGGAGGCUUGGAUGUUUUAAUGCCAGGGUAUUUGUAAACCUGGUAGGUUCACCAUGCUCAGUUCAUGUGAGUCACUGUUGAUAGACUUAAGAUGUCGAACCAAUUUAUGCCAACUAAAUGCCUGGCUUCUCUUACUGUAGACAUUGGCACCUCUGCUGAAAGUGGUCCUACUAGAGAGACUGAAAGAACUACAUGUCAGCCUUAAGGGCUGGCACUGGUAGGGCUUCGGGUCCAGUGUAGAGCAUGUCCUGCAGACAGAUAUGAAGUGGCAAGUGAGUGUGCUAUUAGAUAAGAGCUCCGAGAAGGACCAAACAUAUAGAAAGUAAGUACAAGUGAAAAGGCAAGACUGAAUAACUGAAGAUAAUUAAAGUAGAGAAGAGAUGACAGAGAUAAGAGUCUGCACACAAAUAAAUGGACUCCUAAAUUCCAUCUCCAUAUGCUUGGAGGAUAAUGAGAGAAGUGAUUGAUAGUAAAAUAACUGACAGCAAGAAGAACUCAUACUGGACAUUAGAAAAAAUUUUCUAAUGCUAAGAGCCAUGAUAGACUCAUCUUGCUCUUUGGGAAGCUAUGGUGCUCCUUUACUGAGGUUUAAAUACAGGCUGGGCUGGCAUCAAUCAGAAAUGAGGUAGAUAUGUCAGGACUGCCCCAGCAUAGGCAUUAAAUGACCACUUAUACUGACAGCAUCUUAAGCUUUUUAGGAUACAGAAAAUACUCCAAACUCCUGCUCAUCUAGAAGUGCUUGCAAGGAUUGGCAUUCAGUAAUCCCAGGGUACUCUGCACCCCAGGAAGAGACAGUGCUUCUGCUACCUCUGUCCUGCUGAGGCCAUACACAGCUUCCUAAUGAGUAUGCUAAAUCAAAGUACUUUCCUGUACAGUGUGCUGCUGAUAAUGAUGUGAUACGUAUGCCCAGUAUAUGGCUCUGGAUUGUAUUACUGAAGGAAGGCUACAGUACUGACCUUUUAAGCACUUAAAUUCUAAUUGUCCUUAGACCUUACCCAACUUGUGUGAACAAAAACUUAGAAAUGUCAAAAGGUUAUCUUUUCAUUGGCUUCAGUAAUGUCUUCCAAAAAUAUGAAAUAUUUUCCAGCUGCAUGUGGGGUGAGAGAUUUAGAUUGCCUCUCCUUACAGUGACAUAAAUUACAAGUGAUGUCACGCAAAGAUGUGGACAACGGCAAAGCUGCUGUAGGUGAGUGAGCUUCUUUAGAACACGUUCACCACUGGUAAAGGGAUGGGACACACAAGACCUUUUACAGUCCCAGUUCUGGUUGUCUUGAAAAGUUCUUUCCCUUUCCAGUUUAAGUUUGUAUAGUGCUUCAGUGUGAUUCUGGAGGCUGAUUUAUGUUCUAUGUCUUGUGUCUAUUUUAAUACCAGGCUCUUGCUUACCCUACCUUGAAACACCGAGCAAAUUCCCACCAGAGUCACAUUAAAUUGGCAGUUCCUCUUGGG